ACUGCGAAGGGGGGACGGAGAAGGCUAUGUCAGCCGGGCGACGGUUGUCCCGGUUUAAGCAUGUAGGCGGAGGUUCCAGGUAAAUCCGGUACCUUAUUAACGCUGAGGUGUGAUGACGAGGCACUACGGUGCUGAAGUGAUAAAUGCCCUGCUUCCAGGAAAAGCCUCUAAGCAUCAGGUAACACGAAAUCGUACCCCAAACCGACACAGGUGGUCAGGUAGAGAAUACCAAGGCGCUUGAGAGAACUCGGGUGAAGGAACUAGGCAAAAUGGUGCCGUAACUUCGGGAGAAGGCACGCUGAUGUGUAGGUGAAGCCCCUGCGGGCGGAGCUGAAAUCAGUCGAAGAUACCAGCUGGCUGCAACUGUUUAUUAAAAACACAGCACUGUGCAAACACGAAAGUGGACGUAUACGGUGUGACG
RNAcentral lists this ribosomal RNA (421 nucleotides) under Enterobacter hormaechei. RNAcentral's name for it is "partial 23S ribosomal RNA". It matches the Rfam family "Bacterial large subunit ribosomal RNA", at positions 1453 to 1857 of the family's 2925-position model. RNAcentral also lists the same sequence under 1 other name. Lineage: Bacteria; Pseudomonadati; Pseudomonadota; Gammaproteobacteria; Enterobacterales; Enterobacteriaceae. The record is from RNAcentral.